This 531-nucleotide ribosomal RNA is filed under the name Klebsiella pneumoniae. Its description in RNAcentral is "bacterial LSU rRNA". It matches the Rfam family "Bacterial large subunit ribosomal RNA", at positions 1 to 562 of the family's 2925-position model. The record is from RNAcentral. Lineage: Bacteria; Pseudomonadati; Pseudomonadota; Gammaproteobacteria; Enterobacterales; Enterobacteriaceae.
GGGUUGUGAGGUUAAGCGACUAAGCGUACACGGUGGAUGCCCUGGCAGUCAGAGGCGAUGAAGGACGUGCUAAUCUGCGAAAAGCGUCGGUAAGGUGAUAUGAACCGUUAUAACCGGCGAUGUCCGAAUGGGGAAACCCAGUGUGAUCCGUCACACUAUCGUUAACUGAAUACAUAGGUUAACGAGGCGAACCGGGGGAACUGAAACAUCUAAGUACCCCGAGGAAAAGAAAUCAACCGAGAUUCCCCCAGUAGCGGCGAGCGAACGGGGAGCAGCCCAGAGUCUGAAUCAGCUUGUGUGUUAGUGGAACGGUCUGGAAAGUCCGACGGUACAGGGUGAUAGUCCCGUACACCAAAAUGCACAGGCUGUGAACUCGAAGAGUAGGGCGGGACACGUGGUAUCCUGUCUGAAUAUGGGGGGACCAUCCUCCAAGGCUAAAUACUCCUGACUGACCGAUAGUGAACCAGUACCGUGAGGGAAAGGCGAAAAGAACCCCGGCGAGGGGAGUGAAAAAGAACCUGAAACCGUGUA